GACGAACGCUGGCGGCGUGCUUAAUACAUGCAAGUCGAGCGAGGUUACUGGAGUGGAGCCCUUCGGGGUGAAGCUGCUUUAACCUAGCGGCGGACGGGUGAGUAACGCGUGGGUAACCUACCCCAAAGCCCGGGAUAACAGCGGGAAACCGCUGCUAAUACCGGAUGACUUUACCUUGGGGCAUCUUGAGGUAAAGAAAGGUUAACGCUUUGGGAUGGGCCCGCGUCCCAUUAGCUAGUUGGUGAGGUAACGGCUCACCAAGGCGACGAUGGGUAGCCGGCCUGAGAGGGUGGACGGCCACACUGGGACUGAGACACGGCCCAGACUCCUACGGGAGGCAGCAGUAGGGAAUAUUGCGCAAUGGACGGAAGUCUGACGCAGCGACGCCGCGUGAGCGAUGAAGGCCUUCGGGUCGUAAGCUCAGUCAUUGGGAUGAAAGGACAGUACCCAAAGAGGAAGCCCGGCUAACUACGUG
RNAcentral lists this ribosomal RNA (475 nucleotides) under uncultured bacterium. RNAcentral's name for it is "bacterial SSU rRNA". It matches the Rfam family "Bacterial small subunit ribosomal RNA", at positions 28 to 507 of the family's 1533-position model. The record is from RNAcentral.